RNAcentral lists this ribosomal RNA (590 nucleotides) under Schwanniomyces sp. RNAcentral's name for it is "partial large subunit ribosomal RNA". It matches the Rfam family "Eukaryotic large subunit ribosomal RNA", at positions 67 to 672 of the family's 3401-position model. The record is from RNAcentral. Lineage: Eukaryota; Fungi; Ascomycota; Pichiomycetes; Serinales; Debaryomycetaceae.
ACUGGUAAUUGCCUCAGUAACGGCGAGUGAAGCGGCAAAAGCUCAAAUUUGAAAUCUGGCACCUUCGGUGUCCGAGUUGUAAUUUGAAGAAGGUAACUUUGGAGUUGGCUCUUGUCUAUGUUCCUUGGAACAGGACGUCACAGAGGGUGAGAAUCCCGUGCGAUGAGAUGUCCAAUUCUAUGUAAAGUGCUUUCGAAGAGUCGAGUUGUUUGGGAAUGCAGCUCUAAGUGGGUGGUAAAUUCCAUCUAAAGCUAAAUAUUGGCGAGAGACCGAUAGCGAACAAGUACAGUGAUGGAAAGAUGAAAAGAACUUUGAAAAGAGAGUGAAAAAGUACGUGAAAUUGUUGAAAGGGAAGGGCUUGAGAUCAGACUUGGUAUUUUGCAAGCUUUACCUUCGUGGUGGAGUCCCCUGCAGUUUACUGGGCCAGCAUCGGUUUGGAUGGWARGAUAAUGACUUGGGAAUGUGGCUUUGCUUCGGUAAAGUGUUAUAGCCCUUGUUGAUACUACCUGUCUAGACCGAGGACUGCGUCUUUGACUAGGAUGUUGGCMUAAUGAUCUUAAGUCGCCCGUCUUGAAAMMMMGRACCAAGAC